CGUUUCCUUUCUGUGGUUGGUGCCCGUUUGCUGGAGCCGUCCAGGGGCUCCUGAGACAGCAUGUGCCACAGUGGCAGUGGUGGAGAGGCUACACUGUUGGCGGUUAGGAGUCUCACGUGCACCGAGUGCUUUGGACUGCUUGUCCUCUGGUACUAGGUCCAGGGCACUGAGACAGGGUAACCUGUGUGCCUGAGAGAGUAACAGCUGCACAGCUGUGCCCGGGAGAGCAACAGCUGCACAGCUGUGCCUGGCAACAGCUGCACAGCUUCCUCAUGCUGCCAAUAAGGAGCAUGCAACAGGGCCUGGGGAGCCCGUCAGGGGGCCUGUGGCCCCAGCCGUUAUUGGUGUACCUUCCUCUUUGCCUCUGGUCUGUUCUGACCUGAUACCUUUUCCAAGUAGAGAGGAUGGGCCUGCAGAGCGUCUCAGUGGCCAUAUUUCCACGGUGUCUUGAAGAUACAAAAGACCUGUGUCUAUUCUGUUAUAUUCGACCUUAUAUUUAUGGCCAAGAGCCAGACUCCUGACAGGUGUCACACAAACCUGGGCCAGCAGGACUCCCUUGUGCCACCUGGGUCUUUUCAUAUGGGUGCAAAAGGUCAGGUGUGUCCCUGGAUGACACCGCCUACCGGCACAUGCAUGUUCCUGCCAGAACCCAUGUGGAGGGCGCAGGGGCACCGCAGACCUGCGACUGCAUGGCCGCACUGUUCUUUGCUUUUCUCUCCUCAGACAGAUUGAGCAGCUGCUGCAGCUGCUGACCACCGAGAUACUGAGCCCUGACAGCCAGGCCCC
This 786-nucleotide long non-coding RNA is filed under the name Rattus norvegicus (Norway rat). RNAcentral's name for it is "long non-coding RNA NONRATT017256". The record is from RNAcentral. Lineage: Eukaryota; Metazoa; Chordata; Mammalia; Rodentia; Muridae.